RNAcentral lists this ribosomal RNA (495 nucleotides) under uncultured bacterium. RNAcentral describes it as "partial 16S ribosomal RNA". It matches the Rfam family "Bacterial small subunit ribosomal RNA", at positions 28 to 507 of the family's 1533-position model. The record is from RNAcentral.
GAUGAACGCUGGCGGCGUGCCUAAUACAUGCAAGUAGAACGCUGAAGGAGGAGCUUGCUCUUCUGGAUGAGUUGCGAACGGGUGAGUAACGCGUAGGUAACCUGCCUGGUAGCGGGGGAUAACUAUUGGAAACGAUAGCUAAUACCGCAUGACAACAGUUAUUGCAUGAUAACUGUUUAAAAGGGGCAACUGCUCCACUACCAGAUGGACCUGCGUUGUAUUAGCUAGUUGGUGAGGUAACGGCUCACCAAGGCGACGAUACAUAGCCGACCUGAGAGGGUGAUCGGCCACACUGGGACUGAGACACGGCCCAGACGCCUACGGGAGGCAGCAGUAGGGAAUCUUCGGCAAUGGACGGAAGUCUGACCGAGCAACGCCGCGGGAGUGAAGAAGGUUGUCGGAUCGUAAAGCUCUGUUGUAAGAGAAGAACGAGUGUGAGAGUGGAAAGUUCACACUGUGACGGUAGCUUACCAGAAAGGGACGGCUAACUACGUG